RNAcentral lists this ribosomal RNA (301 nucleotides) under uncultured bacterium. RNAcentral's name for it is "partial 16S ribosomal RNA". It matches the Rfam family "Bacterial small subunit ribosomal RNA", at positions 509 to 807 of the family's 1533-position model. The record is from RNAcentral.
CAGCAGCCGCGGUAAUACGGAGGGGGCUAGCGUUGUUCGGAAUUACUGGGCGUAAAGCGCACGUAGGCGGCUUGGUAAGUUAGAGGUGAAAGCCUGGAGCUCAACUCCAGAAUUGCCUUUAAGACUGCCGAGCUAGUAGGUGAGAGAGGUAAGUGGAAUUCCGAGUGUAGAGGUGAAAUUCGUAGAUAUUCGGAAGAACACCAGUGGCGAAGGCGGCUCACUGGCUCAUUCUAGACGCUGAGGUGCGAAAGCGUGGGGAGCAAACAGGAUUAGAUACCCCCGUAGUCCCUGUCUCUUAUAC